RNAcentral lists this ribosomal RNA (253 nucleotides) under uncultured bacterium. RNAcentral's name for it is "partial 16S ribosomal RNA". It matches the Rfam family "Bacterial small subunit ribosomal RNA", at positions 524 to 776 of the family's 1533-position model. The record is from RNAcentral.
UACGUAGGAUGCAAGCGUUGUCCGGAUUUACUGGGCGUAAAGCGCGCGCAGGCGGCAGCCUAAGUACGGAGUGAAAUCUCCCUGCUCAACGGGGAGGGUGCUCUGUAGACUGGGCAGCUAGAGGACGGUAGAGGGGGGUGGAAUUGCUGGUGUAGCGGUGAAAUGCGUAGAGAUCAGCAGGAACACCCGUGGCGAAGGCGGCCCCCUGGGCCGAACCUGACGCUGAGGCGCGAAGGCUAGGGGAGCGAACGGG